This 206-nucleotide ribosomal RNA is filed under the name uncultured bacterium. RNAcentral's name for it is "partial 16S ribosomal RNA". It matches the Rfam family "Bacterial small subunit ribosomal RNA", at positions 568 to 774 of the family's 1533-position model. The record is from RNAcentral.
UGCGUAGGCGGCUUUGCAAGUCAGAUGUGAAAUCUAUGGGCUCAACCCAUAAACUGCAUUUGAAACUGUAGAGCUUGAGUGAAGUAGAGGCAGGCGGAAUUCCCCGUGUAGCGGUGAAAUGCGUAGAGAUGGGGAGGAACACCAGUGGCGAAGGCGGCCUGCUGGGCUUUAACUGACGCUGAGGCACGAAAGGCUGGUAGCAAACA